This 253-nucleotide ribosomal RNA is filed under the name uncultured bacterium. RNAcentral's name for it is "partial 16S ribosomal RNA". It matches the Rfam family "Bacterial small subunit ribosomal RNA", at positions 524 to 776 of the family's 1533-position model. The record is from RNAcentral.
UACGUAGGGCGCAAGCGUUGUCCGGAAUUAUUGGGCGUAAAGAGCUCGUAGGCGGCUUGUCACGUCGAUUGUGAAAGCCCGAGGCUUAACCUCGGGUCUGCAGUCGAUACGGGCUAGCUAGAGUGUGGUAGGGGAGAUCGGAAUUCCUGGUGUAGCAGUGAAAUGCGCAGAUAUCAGGAGGAACACCGGUGGCGAAGGCGGAUCUCUGGGCCAUUACUGACGCUGAGGAGCGAAAGCGUGGGGAGCGAACAGG